Molecule: long non-coding RNA, 903 nt
Organism: Cercocebus atys (sooty mangabey)
Lineage: Eukaryota; Metazoa; Chordata; Mammalia; Primates; Cercopithecidae
Exons: 3
Source: RefSeq, a predicted model, not a curated record
UCCAUGUGUCACUUCUGGACAGAGGCAAUGAAAAUCUGUUGUGUGAUCCUCCUCAUUCUUUUUCAACCACUUAGACUGUGGUGGCUAUAUAUGGAGAUUCUGGAGCCACAAGAUAAAACCAGUCUAGAUCUCUGACUCAUGUGGAAGGGAGCUGCCCUGGAGAGCCAGUGGACUUCCAGCUGACAUUCUUUCAAGAAUCACAAUUUACAAACCUAAUAAGUGAAGAAGUUGUUCGCGUUGAAGUAAAAAUUUUCAAACUUCUAAGUUUAUAGACCGUCAUGAAGAUCUUCCCCCUCACUCAUCCUCAUCAGAGACCUUUCCCUUCUUGCUAUAUUUGAUAUUACUUUUCAAAGCUGAAAGUAUUUAUCAUGACUGAAUCAAGUUCCUCCGAAAUUGAUAUGCUGAAGUCCCGAAACCUCAAUACCUCAGAAUGCAACCAUUUUUGGAGAUAAUGUGUUUAAAGAGGUGGUUAAACUAAAAUGAUCCCAUUAGGGUGGAGUUCUAAAUCAAUAUGACUGGUGUCCUUAUAAGACGAGAAAGAGACACUAACGACUCCUAUACACAGAAGAUAAUCCUGAGAAGAAGCAACAAGAGGACCGUCUCCUGCAAACCAAGGAGAGUGAGGCCUCAGAGGCAACCAACUUUGCCAGCACCUUGAUCUUCGAUUUCUAGCCUCCAGAUAUGUGACAAAAUAAAUUUCUGUUGUUUAAGCUUCCCUGCCUGUGGUACAGUUGUUCCUCUAACAUCUGUGGGGGAUUGUAUCGAAAUCUGUAGAUGCUCAAGUCCCUGAUAUAAAAGAUGAGGUAUUUUCAUAUAACCUAUGUACAUCCUCUGUAUCCUUUAAAUUAUCUGUAGAUUACUUAUAAUAGGCUGGUCCAAGUGCAGUAGCAUUUGCAACUAAUU